Molecule: long non-coding RNA, 1418 nt
Organism: Electrophorus electricus (electric eel)
Lineage: Eukaryota; Metazoa; Chordata; Actinopteri; Gymnotiformes; Gymnotidae
Source: RefSeq, a predicted model, not a curated record
CACCAGAGCUACGUCACACAGACGAAAGUCGCAUGACGUUGUCUCAGAAAAGCAGAAAAUUAGUCAGGCAAAACGUUUGGAAAAGUAGUUUUGAAAGGGACAGUCCUUGGAAGUAGCUCUGGGAAAAAUCAUACCACGGGGCGUACAAGAAGAACCGGAAGCAGGGCUUUCUUCCCGUUCUACUGCAUUUUACCUGUACAAGUGCUGUUAAAUACAAGUUGGCCUAUGUGUCCGCGAUGGCGUUGAGGAAUGCCCAUCCGCUGAUUUCCUCUUUCUGAAAAGCCUACCAAAUCUGCAUCUGAUUCCUGUGUCCAGUUGCUUUCUUCAGUUGCAAUGGUUCCUCUUUCUGCCUAUCUGGAGCUGGGCUCAUAUAAGUAGAAUAUGUCUAUCACUCAUUCACACACAAACACACACUUCCACAAACACACCUAUAAAACAUUUGAGAGAUUUCUUGGAAGACAACAGCACAACAAAGAACAAGAGGAGGAAACAUAGAGGUGGUGGAGGGCAAAAAAGUCUUUCUCACUCUGUACACAUUAAUGAACUGAUCAGAUUGACCAGAGCCAAGCUGAUUUGCUCUUCAUAGAAAAGAGAUUGAAAACAGAAGAACAAACCACAAUAAAAGCUCAAGAUGGGUUAAAAUUGCCUGGAAAUCAAGUGGCAGAGACUGGCAGAAGUGUGACAGAAGUGACAGAAGACAUGAGGAGUGAAUAACUGAAUGGAGGCUCAUGUCUGAGGGAAUGAUUGGCUCUUGGAAGGGUUUUUUCUCGGAUCCUGCUAUCCCACCUAUCUACCAAUCCCACCACACCCAGCAGCUGGUCCUCUUGAAGCAAUCAUCCUUAUCAUCACAGGAGAUGGCAUAACAAUAGAGGGGGCAACUGACGUCAAGGGAGUACACGUGAGCCUAGCACCUUAGCCUCCGUAUGCACACCCGCCCUUAGACAAACACACGUGAACACACAACCUCAGCUAAAGAAAGGACACCAAAAAAAAUGGGAUGCUGAACCAGGUAUUCCCUCCUUCGCAGCCAAAAUGAUCUCACCCUUCCUCUUCUCAUCCCUCAUCCCACCAUCCUCACUUUGCACACUCUCCCUCUGUUUGCGAGGUUGCGUUUGGGUUGCUAGUAGCAGCCCGGCCUGGCACAAGGUUGCGACUACUGAACAGCUGCCAGCAUGUCUUUCGUAGCUCUCAGUACAGUGGAGAUAUCUAGCUCUUGGUAACCACACUCAAAGGAAUCCUUUCUUCUCCUUCUGCAUCUGUGUUUUUAGGCAAAUUGUUCCUAAAACCAAGUGGAUCUUUGUUCUGUGUUUGCAGGUUAAUUUGCAGCAUCUAGUACCCAAAAUGCUUUGAAACACAACAGAAUAGUUUUCUCUUUCUGUGAUAUUCAAUGGCAAGUGCACAGGACACCCAAUCACAGA